RNAcentral lists this ribosomal RNA (422 nucleotides) under Campylobacter gracilis. RNAcentral's name for it is "bacterial SSU rRNA". It matches the Rfam family "Bacterial small subunit ribosomal RNA", at positions 29 to 448 of the family's 1533-position model. Lineage: Bacteria; Pseudomonadati; Campylobacterota; Epsilonproteobacteria; Campylobacterales; Campylobacteraceae. The record is from RNAcentral.
AGUGAACGCUGGCGGCGUGCCUAAUACAUGCAAGUCGAACGGAAUUUAAAAGAGCUUGCUCUUUUAAAUUUAGUGGCGCACGGGUGAGUAAUAUAUAGCUAAUCUGCCCCUUGCUGGAGGACAACAGUUAGAAAUGACUGCUAAUACUCCAUACUCCUUUUUACCAUAAGAUAAAUCGGGAAAGAAUUUCGGCAAGGGAUGAGACUAUAUCGUAUCAGCUAGUCGGUGGGGUAACGGCCUACCGAGGCUAUGACGCGUAACUGGUCUGAGAGGAUGAUCAGUCACAUUGGAACUGAGACACGGUCCAAACUCCUACGGGAGGCAGCAGUAGGGAAUAUUGCGCAAUGGGGGAAACCUUGACGCAGCAACGCCGCGUGGAGGAUGACACUUUUCGGAGCGUAAACUCCUUUUGUUAGGGAAGA